GGGAGGCUCAUCAAACCCUAACACUAAUUCAUCCGCUCGACAUGCCUCGUUUGUUUGAUCUAUUUCCAUCGACGAACCCUCGACGACAAAGAAGAUAGAGAUAGGAGAUGUAGUGUUAGAGUUGGUCAUGUUGUUUUCUUUGAUAUGGUUUCGUUUGGAUCAAUCUCGCUAGAUCUUUGACGUGUUGCAACCGACUAUACAUUUGAUGAGGAAUCGCUGCGAAUCUCUUCUAUUUAUUGUUCGACAGAAUGUCCACAAGGAUUUUGCAGCUAAUACCAUUAGAGAUUAGUGACCACAUCACUUAUUCUUAGGUGUGGCAAGGGGCUAGGAAAGGAAGCUGUUGUCAUGAUGAUGGAAUUUGCAGUUGAGAAUAUGGGGAUACAUGUCUUUACAACUAAAAUUGGGGAUUUAAAUUAAGCUUCUCUUCAUAUGUUUCAAAAACUGGGAUUCGAAAAAGUUUCCCACAGUCAUGUUUUCAAAGAGAAAUGACGCUUUCAACUGAGUGUGUCUAACACUCAACAAGGAAAGUAGGUUGGACCAUGUCUCAAAAUAUACAAUAUCAUCAAAGAAAGUAAGUUGUAUCAUGUCUCAAACUAUUGUUAGUUCAUUAUUCAUAAUUACAUGCAUAUUUCCUAAUUUUAAACUAAUAAUUUUGAAUGAUGUCUUGGAAGCCUAAGAACUGAUGUAUUCAUGAAUGUUAAAAUGGAGGUUGAAGCCUCAAGCUCACUUCAAUCGGACAUGUCUUAUAUAGGAGGAAGAUGAGAAUUCUAAAUUGAAUCUCUGUUGCCAUCAAAUCACAUUACGUCGACAAUUGUUGGAUGCCUUGGUGGUGAAGAUGGUGAGUUUAGUUGUUUUGUUAUCCAAAUUAGACUAUAGGAAAAAUAAACUUGGUUUAGUAAUGAUAGCAUUUUUGCUGUAAACAAAGACGAGCAUGAAUGUUGUUUGGUUUUGGCUAGAGAAAGAAAAGGCACACAAA
Molecule: long non-coding RNA, 976 nt
Organism: Impatiens glandulifera
Lineage: Eukaryota; Viridiplantae; Streptophyta; Magnoliopsida; Ericales; Balsaminaceae
Exons: 6
Source: RefSeq, a predicted model, not a curated record